GUGUGUGUGAUGUGAACAAAACAGUAUGAGAAACCGUGAUACUGUAAACGCUUUCUGAUGUG
Amazona aestiva (blue-fronted amazon) is the source of this 62-nucleotide small nucleolar RNA. It matches the Rfam family "Small nucleolar RNA Z39". From Rfam's summary of the family: Z39 is a member of the C/D class of snoRNA which contain the C (UGAUGA) and D (CUGA) box motifs. Most of the members of the box C/D family function in directing site-specific 2'-O-methylation of substrate RNAs. The record is from Rfam. NCBI's taxonomy places the organism in Eukaryota, Metazoa, Chordata, Aves, Psittaciformes, Psittacidae.